This 505-nucleotide ribosomal RNA is filed under the name uncultured bacterium. Its description in RNAcentral is "partial 16S ribosomal RNA". It matches the Rfam family "Bacterial small subunit ribosomal RNA", at positions 28 to 507 of the family's 1533-position model. The record is from RNAcentral.
GACGAACGCUGGCGGCGUGCCUAAUACAUGCAAGUAGAACGCACAGUUUAUACCGUAGCUUGCUACACCAUAAACUGUGAGUUGCGAACGGGUGAGUAACGCGUAGGUAACCUGCCUGGUAGCGGGGGAUAACUAUUGGAAACGAUAGCUAAUACCGCAUAAUAUUGAUUAUUGCAUGAUAAUUGAUUGAAAGAUGCUAUUGCAUCACUACCAGAUGGACCUGCGUUGUAUUAGCUAGUAGGUGAGGUAACGGCUCACCUAGGCGACGAUACAUAGCCGACCCGAGAGGGUGAUCGGCCACACUGGGACUGAGACACGGCCCAGACUCCUACGGGAGGCAGCAGUAGGGAAUCUUCGGCAAUGGACGAAAGUCUGACCGAGCAACGCCGCGUGAGUGAAGAAGGGUGUCGGAUCGUAAAGCUCUGUUGUAAGAGAAGAACGGGUGUGAGAGUGGAAAGUUCACACUGUGACGGUAGCUGACCAGAAAGGGACGGCUAACUACGUG